RNAcentral lists this long non-coding RNA (1350 nucleotides) under Heterocephalus glaber (naked mole-rat). RNAcentral's name for it is "lncRNA (ENSHGLG00000036430.1)". Lineage: Eukaryota; Metazoa; Chordata; Mammalia; Rodentia; Bathyergidae. The record is from RNAcentral.
GUUCAUCCCUAUUCAUUUGUAGGCUGCAGCAGAUGGCUAUGUGUCUUGUGCACUGUGCUGAGGUGUCCAGUGAGGGGUUGAGAGGGCCUGAAAUGCAGGCCAUACUAUUCUUCAGGCUGGGGAUCCUAGAGAAAAAGAACCAUUCUACUGUGUUCUUGGGGCAAGCCCCUGCCCAGAGGGGUCCUGUUUUCUGGUUCUACCAAAGCCCUGGAGUAAUUGAGCUGUACCCCAGCCACCUGAGCUUGUGAACACACAUCCACACUUGACUGAACUGCACACCUCGAGGUGCUCCCCCUCUCUGGGCUUCUGCCUGGCCCUUGCACAGCUUCUUGCCUCCUCCCUGGGGGCUUGUUAGAUGUUCCUGGCACUGUGCCCAUUCUGGGCAGGCCCAUAGUGGCCAUGGGAUGCUUGGCCUGGGGCCCUUGGGGCCCUUCUUGCACAUGCCUCUAGGGAGAGGGGCAUGGAACUGGAGACCAUACCCCCUUUCCUGUCACCUGCCCUCCCCCUGAAUCUCCUGACCCCCAGGACCCAAUGCCAUCAUGCACUAUGUCUGUGGUUUAAAACAGUCCUUGAAGUGGAGCUCCCGGUGUGCUUUGCCUCUGGGGUCCCCACAUCGAGAGCCUCAUUACUGUUGGUGACCAGCACAUUCUUGGGGCCCCCGGGUGGAGAGGUGUUGUGGUCUCACCCAAUGGUCAGGAGAGGACAGUGUGUGGGGACUCUGGAGUCAGCUGAAUGUCUCUAUGAAAGGCAUGGUUCCUUGAAGAGUGCAGAAUUUGAGUUCUUUUGCAUCAGAAACUGCCAUGUGAUGUCCAAGGAGCAGAGUGUGUGGUCAGGAACAGGAGGGCCACUGACACAGGGCCCUCAGCCUGCCCACAUUGGAAGAAGUGAACCAGACCUGCUCCUGUGGUUAACUGUGGCCCUAUAGGUCUCCUUAUUUGGUAAUUAAAUCACCAAAAUGUGAGGUAUUUAUGUUCCCCUGUCCCAGAAGUGUCUCACUUUGGACACAGGGUCUGAAGCAGAUUGGAAAGAAACCCAUGGCCUACAAAUUGCAGUUACUAAAACCCCACUGAGAAGAGAGCAGGGCCCUUGGCACUAAGCAGCUGCUGGUCCUCUGACCCUGCAGCAGGCACCCAGUGUCAAGGCCACUGAGAGGCCCCCUUCCUGGUGCCUUGUUUAGCCUUCUGCUGGCCAUUUGUGGCCUCAGCUUGCCUUGAGCCUUUGUCUUCCCCCAUGUCCCAUUAGCUGGCCUCUUGGUGGCUCUUGGAGCUCUGGCUGGGAAAGCUAGCUCUCCACCCUCGCUAAAUGCCCCUCACCCCCAUCCCAUGAGCUUCCGCCCUCCCUAAACCUGUC